ACAUCUGGUUGUGACCGUGCACAUUCGUGGUUACUAAACAUUCGUUGUCUCGUACUAGCUUCAGAUGAGUUUUGUACUUCUGUCUCUAUAAGCAAUCGAUCGCUUUUGAAAUUUACGCAUGCGCAUUAGAAAAUGACAACCCGACCCUUCUCAAAUCUGAGCCCGAAUAUCGGCAACAAAGAGCAUUUAUAAUACUACUGAAACUCGGUAAUCUGCCACCAAUCACACAUCAAAGGACUAUCGAAUUUUGAUCAUCCUAGAAGUUUCAAUUGUUCAUAUUAUAAAUAUUGCUGUGAUUUGAAGUGUAGAAAUCGGUUUUCAUUCAAUUUAUUCGUAAAAUAAAUUCAGAGUGUGCUAGAAACAAAGACCCAUUUUUUGUGAUGGGCACUAUUCGCGGGUUUUGUUGCGACGAUGAGACGGGGGAGGUCGUAACAUUUGAUGUGAACGAAGAAACCGGAGAGCCGUCAGUUGAAAAUGUUACACCUCCAGUGAGCAAUGAUGAACAGCAGAACGCACCUGAACAACCGAGGAGAUACUUGCGUUUCCCUCGCGGCUACAUCACCAGGACGAGACGGUUCCGAUCGCUUCAGGCGAACAUUAUUGAAGGGGCCAACCCUAUCAGUCACCGAAUGCUCCUAAUUCCCACUUUGAUGGUCUUCCCUGGCCUCUUCUGUGUUAUUCUAAUGUUGUUGGAAGUAUACCUUCAUGUACGAUGCCACAAAAAGAACAAGCAGCCUAAAGAUCCAAAUAUGUACUACCGCAGUCCUUUCCAUGUGGUAACAAGCACUUUUUGUGGUAUGUGCCGCGAAACUGAUGCUGCAUCUAGGAUUGGCCAGAUGCAGGACCAGCGCCGUAACCGCUAUGACUAUUUCAGGGGUAUUGCUAUAUAAUAUUUAAUUACCCACCUAUUGCUCAUCUUUGAUUAUCUCAUCAAAGGAGACUUCACAACGAGCAAUAAGUAUUAACAACAUUGCCAGAGUUGCAUGCAUAAUACAUUUUUAUGUAACCCCAUCUCAAUAAGGUACUUGUCUUUUGUAAUGUAUUAUAAGGUUUUCUGGUAGUUUCAUUUAUUAAGAUUAUACUGUUUGCGGCCAAAUUAUUAGAGUUCUAUCUAAGGUAUUUGGAAUUGUGAUAAUUUUUUCGUAUAUUUUCAUACAAGUUUGCCCAUUUUAUGAAAGUUAUUUUUCCUUGUUUCUUUGUACAAUAUUUUAUUUUGGCCUGAUUGAAAUCUGACAAUAUCAGAGCAUUAAGAUUAAUAUCUUUUGGUGAUUAUGUUAAGCCAUAGUUAUAAUUAUAUUUAACAUAAGGCAAUGGCUCAGUUUUGUAAUGGUUUGCAAUAGGCAUUUAUUACUUUAAUAUUAUACUUUGUGGCUUAGAUGAGUGUAAUUAUAAUAAUGCUUGUUACUAUGUAUUUUUUAAUCACUAUGUUAUACUGAAUGGACAAAAGGAUACAUGUAGUUACUUCUUCCUUUUGGACAGACAAGUAAUAGUAGUUAUUAUGAAAUAAAUAAAUGCACAUCAUUAAAUAUUGUAUUUGUAAUAAUAUAUAUUGUCUUUAUUAGAAAAUUUCUAAUAUUUAUAAAGUAUUGGCAACUAUAAGUCUGACUCAAUAGCAUGGAUUUAUUCAAUUAUGAUUCUAGAUAUAUUUUCUAUUACAAAGCUUUUGAUCUCUAAACUGAAUAUAUUUUGUAAUUUAUUUUCUACUAAUUAGUUUUUAAUAGGUGCUACUGUCUCUGUAAUAUGUAAUAUAUGUCAUAUUGUAGUCUGGCUAUAAAAAUAAAAUAAUGUUUGUAUCAAUGUAAUAUGUUUGCAGUAUUGUUCUUUUUAUUAAUAUUAUGACUAAAGAAUGAAUUGGGUUGAAAUUCAGCAAUACAUUGUAAUGUAUCAUCUAUAGGUACUAAGUAUCCUAAAACUGUUUGGCCGACUGUUUUUAAAAGAGGAGUAUAAUAACUAAGUAUAUUUAACUAGAUAAGCCAUAAUAUGUAAUAACCAAGGUCACUGUAUUUAGUGUGAACCAAGCAGUUGCAAACAUGUUUAACCCAUUGUAAAUGUCUGGGUGUAUUUAUAUUGGUGAAGGAUAUACCAUAACCAAGGUCACUGUAUUUAGUGUGAACCAAGUAGUUGCAAACAUGUUUAAACCAUAGUAAAUGUCUGGGUGUAUUUAUGUAGGUGAAGGAUAAUUACCAUAACCAAGGUCACUGUAUUUAGUGUGAACCAAGUAGUUGCAAACAUGUUUAACCUAUAGUAAAUGUCUGGGUGUAUUUAUGUAGGUGAAGGAUAUACCAUAACCAAGGUCACUGUAUUUAGUGUGAACCCAGUAGUUGCAAACAUGUUUAACCCAUUGUAAAUGUCUGGGUGUAUUUAUGUAGGUGAAGGAUAUACCAUAACCAAGGUCACUGUAUUUAGUGUGAACCAAGUAGUUACAAACAUGUUCAACCCAUUGUAAAUGUCUGGGUGUAUUUAUAUUGGUGAAGGAUAUACCAUAACCAAGGUCACUGUAUUUAGUGUGAACCAAGUAGUUGCAAAUAUGUUUAAACCAUAGUAAAUGUCUGGGUGUAUUUAUGUAGGUGAAGGAUAUACCAUAACCAAGGUCACUGUAUUUAGUGUGAACCAAGUAGUUGCAAACAUGUUUAACCUAUAGUAAAUGUCUGGGUGUAUUUAUGUAGGUGAAGGAUAUACCAUAACCAAGGUCACUGUAUUUAGUGUGAACCAAGUAGUUGCAAACAUGUUUAACCCAUUGUAAAUGUCUGGGUGUAUUUAUGUAGGUGAAGGAUAUACCAUAACCAAGGUCACUGUAUUUAGUGUGAACCAAGUAGUUGCAAACAUGUUUAACCCAUUGUAAAUGUCUGGGUGUAUUUAUGUUGGUGAGGAUAUACCAUAAGUAAGGUCUGUGUUUUGUGUGAAACGAGUACUGUCUAUCUAAAAUCUAUAGUAUAGAAAUAAGAACCUAUUAUUUGAUGGUCUAUGAAUUGGAAUAUGCUCAUGUUAAAUUUAUUCUUAGUCAGUCUUAGGGGAUAUGACUUGAUGAUAUUGUAAUAAUCUCUUUGUAAUAUGUAAUGAAGACUUACUUAGCAUGUACUUAUUAAGUCAGAGUUUUUUAGAACAACAUUUAUUUAUUGAAUAAUCCUUGUGAAUCAAUUUUGGUAAUAUUUUUUAUUUUAAUAUGGCUGUGUUUGUCACAAUCUGGCUUCAAUAUGUUCAGCUAUUUUUGCCUAAUCUAUUCAUGUAAGAGUAAAGUUUUCUUGGCUAGGGUGUAUGUCCUAUGGUCAAAUACACUAUAUGUUAUAACUGGGUGUGUUCCCGAUAUAUCUAUUCUACAUAUAUUUUAAAGUAUCUAGGUGAUUUUUAUGGAAAUAAAGGUUUCAAAUGGUA
RNAcentral lists this unclassified non-coding RNA (3372 nucleotides) under Manduca sexta (tobacco hornworm). RNAcentral describes it as "uncharacterized LOC115439916, transcript variant X1". The record is from RNAcentral. Lineage: Eukaryota; Metazoa; Arthropoda; Insecta; Lepidoptera; Sphingidae.